GAUGAACGCUGGCGGCGUGCUUAACACAUGCAAGUCGAACGGAAAUUCUCCUGCUUACGGGGGGACUCAAGUUGCGAAAGGAUGGUGAACAAGUGGGGGAUCUGCCCUGCACUUCGGGAUAAGCCUGGGAAACUGGGUCUAAUACCGGGUAGGUCGAUGGGUUUAAUGCCAUUGUGGCACGUGUUUUCGGGGUGGGAGGAGCUCGCGGCCUAUCAGAUUUUUGGUGGGGUAAUGUCAUACCAGAGCGUCGACAGGUAGCCGGCCUGAGAGGGUAUCCGGCACCAUUGGGACUGAGAUGAGGCACAGACUCAUCCGGGAGGCAGCAGUGGGGAAUAUUGCACAAUGGGCGGAAGCCUGCUGCAGCGCAGCCGCGUGGGGGAUGAGGGCCUUCGGGUUGUAACCUACUUUCGUGAGGGACGAAGCGAAAGUGACGGUACCUGGAGAAGAAGCACCGGCUAAAUACGUG
Molecule: ribosomal RNA, 466 nt
Filed under: uncultured bacterium
Lineage: Bacteria
Description: partial 16S ribosomal RNA
Rfam family: Bacterial small subunit ribosomal RNA
Source: RNAcentral